Molecule: long non-coding RNA, 1131 nt
Organism: Ictalurus punctatus (channel catfish)
Lineage: Eukaryota; Metazoa; Chordata; Actinopteri; Siluriformes; Ictaluridae
Exons: 2
Source: RefSeq, a predicted model, not a curated record
CUGUACGCACGCCUGCGAUUCUAUCAAAACAGGAAGGAGCGUAGCACGCAAUAACAAUAUAACAUAUAAAAAUUAUAACAAUAACUCUAAUGGUGAAUGGUAACAACUUAUCAGGGGACUGAGAGCAAAAAAAACCCCCGCAGGAACAAUAGAUCACAUUCCAGCAGUUUACUUAGGGGAUCAACACUAAUUCUCCAUCGCCUUAAAUAUCCAGGAUAACAGCUGCACCGAAUCCUUGAAUCAUGUCUGGCUUGAAGCUGGUUUAUACAAGCAUUUUUAAGGGUCGCAGGGAGCCUGGAGCCUAUCCCAGGGGACUCGGAGCAGGAGGUGGGACACUCUGGACACACUCACACGGACACAACGGACAAUUUGGAAAUGUCAACCAUACACGUCUUUGAACUGGAUGAGGAAACCGAGGCGAGGAAGCAUGGUGCGAACACGCAAGCUCCACAUAGACAGAGCAGGGCGGAGGUGGGAACCGAACCCCCAACCCUGGAGUUGCGAGGCAAAUGUGCUAACCCCCAAGUACAUCUCCAUUAAGCAUAUUUUACAUGAACAUAAAUAUAAAUAAAGAACACAUCAUGAUCAUCUUCCUUUAGCUUUUAUUAAUAUAAUGAGCAGAUGCAAAUGAACACACAAAAAAAAAACAACAGUAGUAGUGCUGUUUCCUAAAAAAACAAAACAAAAAAAACAACGGAAUCUCUAAAAUGAUCAAUUACUAUUAAGACUCGCAGAGUACGCCUGCAGAAAUACCAGAAAUAAUGGCGAAUUUAGUUUAAAGCGCUAAUUAAGCAAGUAUCUUCAAGUGACUUACACUAUAAUUGUUGAACAGCUCACUGUUAUCUGAAAAGCAAAUGCCGAGACGAGAUACAAAUACAAAAAUUUUCACAUUCCCAUUUCUUGUCUAAUUAUUGAGAACAAUUCACCAAGGCAACUCUCUAAUACAAAGAUUUCUAAAUACAGUGCACAGAUUCCGUUCGCCACUUCCUGUUUUUAGUUUUUCGAUGGUAAUUUUUCAAUUGGAGACAAACUGGAAGCAUGGACAUGAAAAGUGAAUAGGACACGGCAAAGGCAUGCACAAUUUCCCUACAGAAUGGGGAGCAACAAGAACACGGCUGUGUGUGUGUGUGG